GGGGGAAUGGGGCGCGGGCCGCGGGCGGUGUGUGGUGUUGUGGGUGGUGGGGGUCGCGCAUAAGAACUUCAAAAUUCACAACCCAAAGCCCUUUCAAGGCUUUCAGCUUUCAUACUGCGAGCAAUGGCAAAACUGUUAACAUGAAGGCCUCGUAAGUGAAAGUUGCCGAACCUGAGUAUGUGCAGUCCUUUUCUCUGAAUUUCUCAGUCAGGCCCUUGACAGUAAGAGAGCACUCAAUGAAAUUGUCAUAUUCAAUGGCCUUAUCUUUGCCUCCACUUUUAUCAAACUUAGAAACCAGCAAAUCCAAAACGACUGGUGAGACAGCAAAUCCUAAACUGCAUAGAGCCUCCCUCAGCUCAUUAGGAUCAAUCCUUCCACUACUAUCCUUAUCAAAUCUCUCGAACAUGGCCCUCCAGUUCUGAAGACUGUAAUACACCGAAGUGAAUUCCUUCGGCCCGAUCUUCCU
This 466-nucleotide unclassified non-coding RNA is filed under the name Hevea brasiliensis (rubber tree). The record is from RNAcentral. Lineage: Eukaryota; Viridiplantae; Streptophyta; Magnoliopsida; Malpighiales; Euphorbiaceae.